AAGUCGUAACAAGGUUUCCGUAGGUGAACCUGCGGAAGGAUCAUUAUUGAAUAAACCUGGUGGGUUGUCGCUGGCUCCUUGGAGCAUGUGCACGCCCGCCAUCUUUAUCCAUCCACCUGUGCACCCUUUGUAGUCUUGGGAUAGAGGAGGGACUGUGCUCUGUCGGGUAAUAAGCCCGGAUGUGAGGACUGCUGUGCUACACCGUACAGCUUUACUUCUGUGUGCGCCUUCUUCUGCCCAGGUCUAUGUAGUUUCAUACACCACUAUAGCAUGUCAUAGAAUGUAUUCAAUGGGCCUACGCGCCUAUAUAAAACUAUAUACAACUUUCAGCAACGGAUCUCUUGGCUCUC
RNAcentral lists this unclassified non-coding RNA (350 nucleotides) under Echinoderma asperum. Its description in RNAcentral is "partial internal transcribed spacer region". The stretch from base 1 to 46 matches the Rfam family "Eukaryotic small subunit ribosomal RNA", at positions 1786 to 1831 of the family's 1831-position model. Lineage: Eukaryota; Fungi; Basidiomycota; Agaricomycetes; Agaricales; Agaricaceae. The record is from RNAcentral.